UACGUAGGGUGCGAGCGUUAAUCGGAAUUACUGGGCGUAAAGCGUGCGCAGGCGGUUCGUUGUGUCUGAUGUGAAAGCCCCGGGCUUAACCUGGGAAUGGCAUUGGAAACUGGCGAGCUGGAGUGUGGCAGAGGGGGGUGGAAUUCCGCGUGUAGCAGUGAAAUGCGUAGAGAUGCGGAGGAACACCGAUGGCGAAGGCAGCCCCCUGGGCCAACACUGACGCUCAGGCACGAAAGCGUGGGGAGCAAACAGG
RNAcentral lists this ribosomal RNA (253 nucleotides) under uncultured bacterium. RNAcentral's name for it is "partial 16S ribosomal RNA". It matches the Rfam family "Bacterial small subunit ribosomal RNA", at positions 524 to 776 of the family's 1533-position model. RNAcentral also lists the same sequence under 1 other name. The record is from RNAcentral.